Molecule: ribosomal RNA, 465 nt
Filed under: Vreelandella stevensii
Lineage: Bacteria; Pseudomonadati; Pseudomonadota; Gammaproteobacteria; Oceanospirillales; Halomonadaceae
Description: partial 16S ribosomal RNA
Rfam family: Bacterial small subunit ribosomal RNA
Source: RNAcentral
CCUACGGGAUGCUGCAGUGGGGAAUAUUGGACAAUGGGCGAAAGCCUGAUCCAGCCAUGCCGCGUGUGUGAAGAAGGCCUUCGGGUUGUAAAGCACUUUCAGUGGGGAAGAAAGCCUUGGGGCUAAUACCCUCGAGGAAGGACAUCACCCACAGAAGAAGCACCGGCUAACUCCGUGCCAGCAGCCGCGGUAAUACGGAGGGUGCGAGCGUUAAUCGGAAUUACUGGGCGUAAAGCGCGCGUAGGCGGUCUGAUAAGCCGGUUGUGAAAGCCCCGGGCUCAACCUGGGAACGGCAUCCGGAACUGUCAGGCUAGAGUGCAGGAGAGGAAGGUAGAAUUCCCGGUGUAGCGGUGAAAUGCGUAGAGAUCGGGAGGAAUACCAGUGGCGAAGGCGGCCUUCUGGACUGACACUGACGCUGAGGUGCGAAAGCGUGGGUAGCAAACAGGAUUAGAUACCCUGGUAGUC